CCUACGGGAGGCAGCAGUGAGGAAUAUUGGUCAAUGGGCGCGAGCCUGAACCAGCCAAGUAGCGUGAAGGAUGACUGCCCUACGGGUUGUAAACUUCUUUUAUCAAGGAAUAAAGUGAAGCACGUGUGCUUUUUUGUAUGUACCCUAUGAAUAAGCAUCGGCUAACUCCGUGCCAGCAGCCGCGGUAAUACGGAGGAUCCGAGCGUUAUCCGGAUUUAUUGGGUUUAAAGGGUGCGUAGACGGGUGGUUAAGUCAGUUGUGAAAGUUUGCGGCUCAACCGUAAAAUUGCAGUUGAUACUGGCAGUCUUGAGUGCAGGUGAGGUAGGCGGAAUUCGUGGUGUAGCGGUGAAAUGCUUAGAUAUCACGAAGAACUCCGAUUGCGAAGGCAGCUUACUGGACUGCCACUGACGUUGAUGCUCGAAAGUGUGGGUAUCAAACAGGAUUAGAUACCCCUGUAGUC
This 460-nucleotide ribosomal RNA is filed under the name uncultured bacterium. Its description in RNAcentral is "partial 16S ribosomal RNA". It matches the Rfam family "Bacterial small subunit ribosomal RNA", at positions 338 to 795 of the family's 1533-position model. The record is from RNAcentral.